RNAcentral lists this long non-coding RNA (394 nucleotides) under Gallus gallus (chicken). RNAcentral describes it as "lncRNA (ENSGALG00010023675.1)". Lineage: Eukaryota; Metazoa; Chordata; Aves; Galliformes; Phasianidae. The record is from RNAcentral.
CAAGAACAGAAAACUUGAAAUCAUCCAGAACUCCUUAUGUUCACCACAACUGAAACAACUGCAGACAGCAAUGCUGAACUGUCAAGACAUAUUAUAGAAAAAAGCAAAGAUGAUACUUCUCCUUGGUAAACAGAGGUUGUGUCUGGCCUGCUGCUGGCCCGUUCACUGAGGAUACGCUCUCUAUUUAGAAGAGAGGUUAAGCUAGCAGGAGACCAUUUGUGUUUCAUGGUGAUCUAUCCAGGGCUGUUUUCUGGAGGUGUGAGCUGAGGCAUCCCUGCUGCAGCCCUGACCGCAGGAUACAGCCUUCUGUUCUGGCUGCCUAUCAGAAAGAGUCCACGCAAACGCAGCAUGGCCUCAGCACAGCUGUGCAGUCAGACCACCAGUGACUUCAGGG